GACGAACCGUGCAAACGUUAUUCGGAAUCACUGGGCUUAAAGCGUGCGUAGGCGGCUCAGAAAGUUGGGUGUGAAAUCCCUCGGCUCAACCGAGGAAUUGCGCCCAAAACUACUGAGCUUGAGGGAGUUAGAGGUGAGCGGAACUCACGGUGGAGCGGUGAAAUGCGUUGAUAUCGUGAGGAACACCGGAGGCGAAAGCGGCUCACUGGGGCUUCACUGACGCUGAGGCACGAAAGCUAGGGGAGCAAACGGGAUUAGAAACCCCCGUAGUCC
This 273-nucleotide ribosomal RNA is filed under the name uncultured bacterium. RNAcentral's name for it is "partial 16S ribosomal RNA". It matches the Rfam family "Bacterial small subunit ribosomal RNA", at positions 524 to 796 of the family's 1533-position model. The record is from RNAcentral.